GCCUGGGUGGCUCGGUCGGUGGAGCAUCCGACUUCGACUCAGGUCGCGACCUCACGGUGUGUGGGUUCGAGCCCCGCCUCCGGCU
This 85-nucleotide transfer RNA is filed under the name Felis catus (domestic cat). It matches the Rfam family "tRNA". Rfam says of the family: Transfer RNA (tRNA) molecules are approximately 80 nucleotides in length. Their secondary structure includes four short double-helical elements and three loops (D, anti-codon, and T loops). The record is from Rfam by way of RNAcentral. RNAcentral also lists the same sequence under 1 other name. Lineage: Eukaryota; Metazoa; Chordata; Mammalia; Carnivora; Felidae.